GUGUUCUUCUAGGAAAUGCAGGUGUUACAUCAAUGUGUAGUACAUAAUAUAAAUUAUGUUGUAUGUGACGUAUUCACAUAUACAUGAUCAGACGUGGAAUAUGAGGGGCGACAAAACCUUGAUAGCAUUCUUCAUAUAUAUUUUGCUUCUUAUAUUUGGUGUUGUAACCGGUGGCUGGGACACAGCAUGCGAAGGCGUAGCAGAAACCGUGUGCCCCAAAGAGUUUGAUGCCUAUAAAAGAAAGAGUGGCAACUGCAACGGUUACAAAAGUUUUCUGGAAUGCUUUUAUUAUUACGUCACACCUUAUUGCUAUAGAGUGUUUGAAGGCCAUCAUAGAUGCGUCAUAUAUGUUAUUUCUUUUUAGAACCUAGGCAAGCCUUCCAGCGUUAAGCCGUUUGCGUAAUUCGUUACACAUCUCAAAUUUAUACCGAGAAAGACAUAAUUUAAUAAAAUGUAUUGUCUACCUGUUUUUCUAACAAAAUUCCACUCUUGUCAAUGUUGAUGUGUAUGCGUCGUUAGAAACAUAAACUGGAAAAGAAACAUACACAUAAAGGAUGAAAUGAGAGAGAAAGUGUACCAAAGAUUUUACAUGGCAUGACAAUAAAGAAACCCUGAAAUAA
Molecule: unclassified non-coding RNA, 620 nt
Organism: Octopus bimaculoides (California two-spot octopus)
Lineage: Eukaryota; Metazoa; Mollusca; Cephalopoda; Octopoda; Octopodidae
Source: RefSeq, a predicted model, not a curated record